RNAcentral lists this ribosomal RNA (253 nucleotides) under uncultured prokaryote. RNAcentral describes it as "partial 16S ribosomal RNA". It matches the Rfam family "Bacterial small subunit ribosomal RNA", at positions 524 to 776 of the family's 1533-position model. The record is from RNAcentral.
AACGUAGGAGACAAACGUUAUCCGGAGUUACUGGGCGUAAAGGGCGUGUAGGUGGUUUUGUAAGUCUGGCGUGAAAUUUUUCGGCUUAACCGGGGAACUGCGUCUGAUACUGGAUGGCUUGAGCUUGGGAGAGGGAUGCGGAAUUCCAGGUGUAGCGGUGAAAUGCGUAGAUAUCUGGAGGAACACCGGUGGCGAAGGCGGCAUCCUGGACCAAUACUGACACUGAAAAGCGAAAGCCAGGGGAGCAAACGGG